This 434-nucleotide unclassified non-coding RNA is filed under the name soil metagenome. RNAcentral's name for it is "partial contains 5.8S ribosomal RNA, internal transcribed spacer 2, and large subunit ribosomal RNA". The stretch from base 1 to 120 matches the Rfam family "5.8S ribosomal RNA", at positions 35 to 154 of the family's 154-position model. The record is from RNAcentral.
GAUGAAGAACGUAGCGAAAUGCGAUACGUAAUGUGAAUUGCAGAAUUCAGUGAAUCAUCGAAUCUUUGAACGCAUAUUGCGCUCUUUGGUAUUCCGAAGAGCAUGCUUGUUUGAGUAUCAGUAAACACCUCAAAGCUUUUGGAUUUUUUAAUCGAGAAGCUUUGGACUUGAGCAAUCCCAACACCAAUCUUUUUGAGAUCGGUGGCGGGUUGCUUGAAAUGCAGGUGCAGCUGGACAUUCUCCUGAGCUAAAAGCAUAUUCAUUUAGUCCCGUCAAACGGAUUAUUACUUUUGCUGCAGCUAACAUAAAGGGAGUUUGACCGUAUUGGCUGACUGAUGCAGGAUUUCACAAGGGUCGGCAACGAUUCUUGUUAAACUCGAUCUCAAAUCAAGUAAGACUACCCGCUGAACUUAAGCAUAUCAAUAAGCGGAGGA